RNAcentral lists this ribosomal RNA (1251 nucleotides) under Streptococcus mitis. RNAcentral describes it as "bacterial SSU rRNA". It matches the Rfam family "Bacterial small subunit ribosomal RNA", at positions 93 to 1333 of the family's 1533-position model. Lineage: Bacteria; Bacillati; Bacillota; Bacilli; Lactobacillales; Streptococcaceae. The record is from RNAcentral.
GAGUUGCGAACGGGUGAGUAACGCGUAGGUAACCUGCCUAUUAGAGGGGGAUAACUAUUGGAAACGAUAGCUAAUACCGCAUAAUAGUAUGUAACACAUGUUAGAUGCUUGAAAGAUGCAAUUGCAUCGCUAGUAGAUGGACCUGCGUUGUAUUAGCUAGUAGGUAGGGUAAAGGCCUACCUAGGCAACGAUACAUAGCCGACCUGAGAGGGUGAUCGGCCACACUGGGACUGAGACACGGCCCAGACUCCUACGGGAGGCAGCAGUAGGGAAUCUUCGGCAAUGGGGGGAACCCUGACCGAGCAACGCCGCGUGAGUGAAGAAGGUUUUCGGAUCGUAAAGCUCUGUUGUUAAGGAAGAAUGAGUGUGAGAAUGGAAAGUUCAUACUGUGACGGUACUUAACCAGAAAGGGACGGCUAACUACGUGCCAGCAGCCGCGGUAAUACGUAGGUCCCGAGCGUUGUCCGGAUUUAUUGGGCGUAAAGCGAGCGCAGGCGGUUAGAAAAGUCUGAAGUGAAAGGCAGUGGCUCAACCAUUGUAGGCUUUGGAAACUGUUUAACUUGAGUGCAGAAGGGGAGAGUGGAAUUCCAUGUGUAGCGGUGAAAUGCGUAGAUAUAUGGAGGAACACCGGUGGCGAAAGCGGCUCUCUGGUCUGUAACUGACGCUGAGGCUCGAAAGCGUGGGGAGCGAACAGGAUUAGAUACCCUGGUAGUCCACGCCGUAAACGAUGAGUGCUAGGUGUUAGGUCCUUUCCGGGACUUAGUGCCGCAGCUAACGCAUUAAGCACUCCGCCUGGGGAGUACGACCGCAAGGUUGAAACUCAAAGGAAUUGACGGGGGCCCGCACAAGCGGUGGAGCAUGUGGUUUAAUUCGAAGCAACGCGAAGAACCUUACCAGGUCUUGACAUCCCGAUGCUAUUUCUAGAGAUAGGAAGUUUCUUCGGAACAUCGGUGACAGGUGGUGCAUGGUUGUCGUCAGCUCGUGUCGUGAGAUGUUGGGUUAAGUCCCGCAACGAGCGCAACCCUUAUUGUUAGUUGCCAUCAUUGAGUUGGGCACUCUAGCGAGACUGCCGGUAAUAAACCGGAGGAAGGUGGGGAUGACGUCAAAUCAUCAUGCCCCUUAUGACCUGGGCUACACACGUGCUACAAUGGCUGGUACAACGAGUCGCAAGCCGGUGACGGCAAGCUAAUCUCUGAAAGCCAGUCUCAGUUCGGAUUGUAGGCUGCAACUCGCCUACAUGAAGUCGGAAUC